This is a long non-coding RNA of Juglans microcarpa x Juglans regia, 273 nucleotides long. RefSeq lists it as uncharacterized. The record is from RefSeq and is a predicted model, not a curated record. The transcript has 3 exons. NCBI's taxonomy places the organism in Eukaryota, Viridiplantae, Streptophyta, Magnoliopsida, Fagales, Juglandaceae.
CAUUCUCUCUUGGGCUAUGUGUAGGCACAAUUUUAACGCUUUCAUAAUCUGAUCCCUUGACUUAAGUUCUCCCUUUAUUGACUCUUCUCUUGUUGUGCCAGGGAUGUAAUUCCUAAUGUGAGGGGAUGCGUACCCGUAUAAGGCCUCGAAUGGAUACAGCCUUGUUGAGGCAUGAAUAUUGGUGUUGUACCACCAUUUGGCUAAAGGAACCCACUUGGACCAAUCCCUUGGCUGAUCUCCAGCAAAACAUCUCAGCAGUUUUUAGGGCUUUUA